Molecule: ribosomal RNA, 98 nt
Filed under: Planctomycetaceae bacterium
Lineage: Bacteria; Pseudomonadati; Planctomycetota; Planctomycetia; Planctomycetales; Planctomycetaceae
Description: partial 16S ribosomal RNA
Rfam family: Archaeal small subunit ribosomal RNA
Source: RNAcentral
AAAUCUGGUUGAUCCUGCCAGAGGCGACCGCUAUUGGAGUUCGAUUAAGCCAUGCGAGUAGAAAGAAAUUAGAUUCUUUGCAUACUGCUCAGUAACAC